ACCUUUUUCCUAGACUUCUCCAAAUCUUGUGCAUUUUGGUCGGAUUCAAAGAAAAAGAAGAAAAUGGAUAACAGAAAUCAUCGUUUAAGAGUUCAAAACAAGAAACCAAUUAAGCGCAGCGGAAAGAAACCAUUGGUGAAGAAGUUUUUGGAUUAUCUUAAGUCUGAUACUUUUUUGUAUGCUCCUCUUCUUUCUCCUCAACCCUCCGGCUCUGGUUUUCCAUCACCCAACAACUUCAAAGUGGUGGAGCUGAAAAGACCUAUAAAAGAGAGGCACUGGUUUAAUGAGUAUCUCAAAUCUCAAGGAUAUAUGUAUGAUCCUGUUAUUGAGCUUCCACUUUCACCUCAAGAACCUUUGAAGGACCGAGAAAUGAUAAGGAAAGAUGUUUCAACUGGAAAGUCAACAAUGAAUGUCAACAACCAACAAACUGAUGAUUUGGAAAAUUUGAACAAAAGGUCUGAAAGUCAUAUUCCUCAAACACACAUCUCUGAUCGCGUUACUCAGGGACAAAAGGAAACUGUGAAGCACACCGUGUACCAAACUUGUCGGACAACUUCAACUUCAAAUUCUGAAUGAUCUUUUUUCCCCUUCAAGUUGGCCUAUUAAAAUUAAUGACACGAGGACCUACCAUAAUGCAAACCAAAGACUUGGCAAUUGCUUAAAAGAUAAGCAUGGAAUUGAGGGAUGAUAUAUUUCAAAGUUUGUAUUUGGUUUGGACAAGGGGGGGAGGACAGAAGUUUUAAUAAAGAAUUUGUAUUUCUUUAUCUUUAUAAUGUUUCAGGUCACAUGUAAUUAACCAAUAACAUUCUUGCUUUUCCACAACUAACGCAAUACACAUAACUCUCUAUCUA
Medicago truncatula (barrel medic) is the source of this 851-nucleotide RNA transcript. RefSeq lists it as uncharacterized. The transcript is spliced from 5 exons. The record is from RefSeq and is a predicted model, not a curated record. NCBI's taxonomy places the organism in Eukaryota, Viridiplantae, Streptophyta, Magnoliopsida, Fabales, Fabaceae.